CAACCCAUCAAGCCUAGCGCUUGUGUUGGAGCCCUGCGGCCGCCGCAGCCUCCUAAAAUCAGUGGCGGGCUCGCUAUCACGCUGAGUGCAGUAGUAUUCUUCUCACUCCUGUUGUGUAGCGGGUAACCAGCCGUAAAAACCCCCAUAUUCAAA
This 153-nucleotide unclassified non-coding RNA is filed under the name uncultured Podospora. Its description in RNAcentral is "partial internal transcribed spacer 2". Lineage: Eukaryota; Fungi; Ascomycota; Sordariomycetes; Sordariales; Lasiosphaeriaceae. The record is from RNAcentral.